This 251-nucleotide long non-coding RNA is filed under the name Mytilus galloprovincialis (Mediterranean mussel). The record is from RNAcentral. Lineage: Eukaryota; Metazoa; Mollusca; Bivalvia; Mytilida; Mytilidae.
AUGGAAAACAGACAAGAGAUAAAUAUUAUAGAACAAUCUAAUGCUUUGACAAUUAUUAUUUUUUUCAUAUCUAAUAAUUAUUUAAGUGGUUUUUUUUAACACUUACAGUAACAGACUACACGAAUGAAUUUUAUUUUCACAGGACAUUCGGUCAGGUAAGCCUCCUAGCUUUACCAGACCGAAUGAAAUUUUACCAGACCAAUUUGUUUUUACAUCUAAUUGUAUAUUAUCCGAUAAAAAACAACAAACAU